Long non-coding RNA from Herpailurus yagouaroundi (jaguarundi), 3163 nucleotides. RefSeq lists it as uncharacterized. Lineage: Eukaryota; Metazoa; Chordata; Mammalia; Carnivora; Felidae. The record is from RefSeq and is a predicted model, not a curated record. The transcript has 2 exons.
UGCUCUGUGUGUAUUUGCGGACAGUUGUUUAAUCAAAGGGGUGGACCCUGACAGAAACUGUUAGUGGUCACUCAAUGGUCAUGCCCUCAGUUCUCUCAUAGAAAUGGAAUGCCCUAUUUCUGGCCGAACACAUAACCACUCAAAAGGAAAGACCACGUUUCCCAGCCUCUCACGAAGCUAUGUACAGCCAGGCGACUAAGUUCAGACCAAUUAAAUGUGAGCAGAAGUGAUAUGGAAAACUUUCUGGUUAUUCUCUGAAGCUAGAGGCAUGUCCUCCCCUUUCCCACGUUCACUUCCCACUUCCUGGAUGUGGACAUGAUGCUGAGUCCUCUCAGUUCUACCCUAGAGGUGGUGGAGCACCUUCACAGAAGGAACCUGAGUCCCUGAGAGGGUGGAGCUGCUAAGCCAGCUAUGGACUGCAUAUGCCCAGACUAUUCAGGAAGGAAGGAAUAAGUUACUGGGUGUGUUUGUUGAAGCAACCGAACCUAUAUCUAACCAGACAUUACUCUAAAGAAUUUGUUCGUAUUGUAGACAGUAGGAAGCUAAUAACAGCAUUUGAACUCUCAUGAUUUGUUACAAGUAUUUUUGUUCUAAUGUUGAGUACAUUGAUGAUAUGCCAGUAUCAUCAAAUGAAAAUCACUAAUCCCGAGUUUCUAGAACUUGAAUAAAUCUAUCAAUAACCCAAAGCAGUCAUUGUUUACUCUUUUCUAUGUUUGCAAACGUGGAUGGGAAUUGGGAAGAAGAGCGCCAGCCACCUGAAACAGAUACAUUUACACAUCACACAGUUAGAAAAAUGAAGUUAAAAUUCCAACAAAGGAUACAUGUUCGAUAUUUUGUUAAAUACUGGGACUGCUUUGAAAUGUAUAUUAUCAAUACCUCCUUUUAAAUAACCUUCUUAGAUUUUGCUAACUCGAGACUCUAAGGUCUACCUUUCCCUCUUCUGCUGAGUAUCACAAGGUCUCCUCUCCAGAUCUAAAUGCUACAAACUUUGUUAUGAGACAGUCUUAUGGGACAAUAUCUAGAGGACUUUCAAUGUGACAGUUUUUAAAAGAAACCCUGACAUUUUUGUGGGUUCAGUGUUCAGGGCUCAGGGCUCUUGUGACUGAUGAGCAAUCUCUUUCAUCAGUGCAAGACUUUGUGAUAAAAUCUUACUCGACUUCUGUGUCUGUUAUCUUAAAGUCUACCACACCUGGCACUAUAGUCUGUGGCCUAUUUCUCUUGACAUACUAUUAAAAGUCAAGAUAUAUUCAUUGUUUCAUUUUGCCUCACGGCCCCCAAGCCCCACCUUCCACAGGCAAAGGAGAUUGUCUUUUAGGCCUAGGAGCCAAUGAAAGUGAUCCAGUACUUGGCUUGUUCCAAGUCUGGGAAAGUUCCUCCUGCCCCAGAGCUGGCAUUGAAAUUGCAAACGGUAAGCAGUUCUCAGAGGAGUCAGGGACAGCAGCUCCCCCAUCCUCCCAAUAGCUCAAGUCCCUUAAUAGAGUCUGUUGUUGAAGUUGGUAGAUAUUUGUGUUCAAUUUCUUUCUCUCCAGCAGUCUGACUCUUGUUUGUAUUCAUAAAGAAAUUGUUGACCUUAUGGAUUCGUUCGCAGCACUAUGACCUCCAAGAUGAUCUCUCUGAGACACGUACCGACACACUGCCUUUUCUCCAACUUGCCUAGGUGGUUCCCCGAGACAAAUGUGGAGCCGGUUUCAAAUCUUCUCUGUGACCUGGUGUGCCUGAUGAGGACCCAGGAGAAAAACUGCUACUUGGACCUUCAAAUUUUCUGACUCCAAGACCCAAGGCAAAACAAUUCUCCACACUUUAAUUUGAUAAAGGAUGUGCUAAACCAAAGGUCCCAACUUGAAAAGGUAAAACCAAAAAAGUUUUUCAACUUUGAAAUGUUGGCAAAGACCCCCUGGUAAGGUGUCUGUUUCAUAACCAAAGAUCAUGAGAUUCAAACCCCAUCCAUGCCUGGCCCUAGAAAGUAUAAAUUCACAGGAGAGGUGUUCUAGCAAGUGACUAAAAACACAGGCUUGGCAGCCAAACAGGUUUGUGUUUAAAUCCUGGCCUUGUCACUAAAACCAAAUGUCCUUGAGGAAACUGCUUAGCUAAAACCUUAGUUUUGUUAUCAGUCAAAUGGAGAUGUUAAUGGUACCUGUUUCUUAGUGUUGUUGCAGAGAUUAGAUGAGAUAAUCAAUGACCCCAAAGGAGAAGAAGACAAAUGGAGCUCUGGAAGAAUGAUUAAUCUCUCCCAGAAAGUGGCUAGCAUCCUCUCUGAUACAUGGGCCCUCAGCCAUGGGGACCAACCGAAGAUAUUCCUGCCCCCAGCACCAGAAACCUACUGGAGCUGCCUGGCCUGGGUGCGAUUGGACACUGUUAAGCUAUCUUUCAGAUCCUUUUCAGAGGGAAUUGUUCCAUAAGCAGCUGUUGAAUUCUUGUGUUCAUGGGAGGAGGUGAGUUCAGGAUCCUCCCAUGCUGCCAUCUUGACCCCAGCUCCACAGUCCAUACUCCAAACCACAUGUGAAAUUAUACAUGUUUAAAACCACUCUGUGGGCAAAUAGCAAUGAUACGUUUCUUCUGAACGUGUAUUCUGAAAUGUUAUCAAAAGUCCAUGGAAUGAAAAUCGCUGAGCAAGAAGCUGGAGCUAAGGAUGAAUGAGACAAAGUUCUACCCUCAGAGGGGCUGAAACACUCCUAGGGGAGAUGAGAUCGAUGAAGGAGCAAUUUAAUGCAAGCAGGAAGGUCCUCGGUAAAUUGACAAGGAGUUCAGAAGGAAAAGAAACUCCCUUCAGCUAGAAAAAUCAGGAAAGGAUGCUGCAAGGAGGUAGCACAACAUGCAUAUUCCCACUGCAAAGAAGCCACUCUGGGGGACUAUACCUUUGUUUUCAUUGUAUUGCUUCUGCUUAAAAAUAGUUUAGGACGAUACUUUGGGAAAGGGUCACCAAGGAAAGCAGCGUCAUUACUUUAAACUUCCCUUUUGUAUUCAGAAGUAUACUUCCCAGAAUGAGAUUUCAAUAUCCCACUGUUAAUCAUGGAUAGAACAACUCCACAAAAGAUCAACCAGGAAAUAGGAGAGUUGAACAACACUGCAAAACAACUAUGUUGAUUCAAAGUGAAUAAAAGUUGUUUGUUUUUUUUUUAAUUUUAGACAGAAGGGAGAAGACUUUCAUUUAAGCCUAAGUUAA